CCUACGGGAGGCAGCAGUAGGGAAUAUUGCUCAAUGGGGGAAACCCUGAAGCAGCAACGCCGCGUGGAGGAUGAAGGUUUUCGGAUUGUAAACUCCUUUUGUUAGGGAACAUAAUGACGGUAUCUAACCCAUAAGAAGUGGCCAACACCGUACCAGUAGCCGAGGUACUUUGGAGGAUGCAAGCGUUACUCGGAAUCACUGGGCGUAAGGGGCGCGUAGGGGGGAUAGCAGGUCACAUGGGAAAUCCUAUGGCUUAACCAUAGAACUGCAUUUGAAACUGUUAUUCUAGAGUAUGGGAGAGGUAGGUGGAAUGCUUGGUGUAGGGGUAAAAUCCAUAGAGAUCACGAAGAACACUCAUUGCGAAGGCGACCUGCUAGAACCUAACUGACGCUGAUGCACGAAAGCGUGGGUAUCAAACAGGAUUAGAUACCCGGGUAGUC
This 440-nucleotide ribosomal RNA is filed under the name uncultured bacterium. RNAcentral's name for it is "partial 16S ribosomal RNA". It matches the Rfam family "Bacterial small subunit ribosomal RNA", at positions 338 to 795 of the family's 1533-position model. The record is from RNAcentral.